GGCUGCUCUGGGCAAGGGGCAGGAGGCUUCUUCACAGGAGACACAGCUGCCCUGAGAGUCCCAGCCUGCUUAGCAACUACCUUAAAGGAGCAGAAGGGCUCCCAGAACAAACAGGGAGUGGUUUCCUGGGGCUGCAAGCCAGGAGUCCGUCUUCCCAGAACAAAUAUGAGAUAACUGAAAUAUAAGUCUCUAAAAAGGAUGGUCCUUAUGGAAAUUGUUCACCGUUCUGUCUCCAGAACCCAGAACAAGGCCUGGUGCAUGGGCCCGAGUUACUUGGAGGAGAGGCAGAUGGCUGUGGGCUAAUUCCUGAAGUGCACUUCUGGGGACCAUCAGCCUGGUUCCCAGGCUGACAUUCCACACGGGCUACAGGUCUCCUCUGAAAAUUAUUAAUUCUUCCCAAGGGAUAGUGGACAGCAUUAGGCACACUGGAAAAAGGCAGUUGGAUCCGUCAUGCUGAGAAGCCUGGAUUGACAGUGAGCGAAAGGAGGGUCUAAUGACUGAAUAAUCAAAGGGAUGUCUGCACCAGAGUGUCUGCCUGCAAGGCAGUCCCAGCAGUUGGUUCUUGGGGACCUGGCUGGGGAGCCUCGAGCUGUCCUAGGAUGUGUUGCCAGAGACAGCAGGGCAGAUGGGAAUGGGGCCUGAGAGCAGAAGUCACCCAGCCUGGGCGCCACUCCAUGCGGAGCAUCCCACACCGCCUUGGCUUCCAAAUGGGACUGGCUGUUAUUUCCAGAAGUGGUGGAGGUGGUGGAGAAAGGCUGGUCCCUGCUGUACUUCUGAGGGCAAGCUGCGUGACGCUGGAGGCAGGCGUGCCAAGCCCUUCCCCCUCACCGCUGCCUUUAGGCCGCUGACCUGUGAACCCUGUCCAGGAGGCUUUUUCCUCCUGAAGCAAUAUCAGUUUGUCACUCCAUCCUCUUCUCAUCCUCAGGGCUCUCGUGUAGGGACCUCCGUGUUCUCAUAUUCCCCUAGGACAAGGACACUAGUCCCAACUGCUAGGCUCUUCCUGGACUCCACCUCCUGCUGUCAUUCCAAGUGACCUCGGUCCCCACUGUGAUGGGCUUACCUCCUCCUCUCUGACCUGCCUGCUCCUCUCCAGUUCAGCCAUACCCUGGAUGCCUCAAAAUCGCCCCAUGUCUGAAAUAAUAAACUGGGACACGCCCUUUCUGAACACCACUGCCUUCAUUCCACCUCGUUCACCGCCUUCACUCCCAGGAGCACUGCUCCUAGCUUAUCUGCUCUGUCCUCAUGCCCUUGUGGAUCAUGUGUUAGGUCUGUGGACCCCACACCAUUCCUCUAGCUUGAUCUGAAUCCUCUGAAAUAUUCAACACUGCCUCUCCCUUUCUAACGCCCAUACUCACUGAGACACCAAGGGCUUUAUUUUCUGCCACAGCAUCUCAGGAGUCUGUCUCCAAUCUCCAUCCUCACUGCCAGGCUCUUCCCUGGUUUGAGCCAUUAUGACAUCUCUCUCUGGUCUCUAGCUCUGACCUUUCUCUGUCCUUCACACCUAUUCCAGGCCUCCAUGCUCUGCAUGCUCCAGUCAUGGGGUCCAUGCCCCACUUCCCGCAGGUCAGUGAUUUUCAUGUCAUUUCUUUCCUCAUUUCCUCCUAGGUAAAAUUUGCUGCUCCUUGCUCUGUGCAUUUUAUUUGUUCCUGUGCCCCUCUGCCUUGUGUCCCAAAUGGUUGGUUAUAUGUCUGCAUCUUCUACUAGAAGGUA
Molecule: long non-coding RNA, 1710 nt
Organism: Manis pentadactyla (Chinese pangolin)
Lineage: Eukaryota; Metazoa; Chordata; Mammalia; Pholidota; Manidae
Exons: 5
Source: RefSeq, a predicted model, not a curated record